This 1537-nucleotide long non-coding RNA is filed under the name Brachypodium distachyon (stiff brome). Its description in RNAcentral is "long non-coding RNA (BDIS_LNC003852)". Lineage: Eukaryota; Viridiplantae; Streptophyta; Magnoliopsida; Poales; Poaceae. The record is from RNAcentral.
GACAUGAAAGAAAGAAUCAUCUAAUUUCAAGUAAUGGAUCACAAGAUAUAGGCUCCGGAAGAUAGCUAACUGAUGUGACAGUGUUAACAGAUACGACUUUUGAUUGAAGAUGCACCUCUGUAGAUGAAUCCUAAGUUGUUCAAGAUGUACACUAAUGCGUAGAACAUGAUCUAAUUGAUGAACUACAGAAGGUUUGGAACCAAACGGAUCAACGGAACAAUUUAUAUGAAUUUCGAAAGGUGGCUCAUCCAGAAACAGCAUACUGUGAAUAGCAAUUUCCAACGAAGAUGCCGUACUGAAGAUCAUGGAGACGGGGUAUAAAAUCUAGUCUGGUAUAGAGAGGUGGACGUGCUCUAACUACAACAGAAAGAUUCGGACGCGGCUUUGGCAUGGGUUCGGAGACGGCGCGGCCAACGGUAUCAAGAGGUCACGAAACCUUGUCACAAAGGUAGGUAAGGGUCACAUGAGUCUACUGGUCAAAGGAAUCGAAGAACGGAGGUUCGGGGUGAUCUCACCGGCAACAAUGGUGACGGUGACCGACGGAGGAAGACGUCGACGUAGCCGGCUGUACAGAGGUUUUUAGGCCAAACUUUCUACAUGGGAAAGGAAGAGGAGAGGCAAAGGCUCAAAGUGACACGCGUGGAAUCCUUUUAUAGUGGCCAAGGAGGGAGAUCGGGCGUGGAUGUUGACGGCCGACAUUCGGGGCGCCUGUUUUGGAAACUGCGAUUAUGAGAGGAAACUUCAAAUUGAUUUCCUGAAUGGGUUCCCGGGAUGGUGACGAUUGAUAGGGUGGUUUCCUUUCGGAGAGAGACGCGCGGAAAGGAAAGAAAUUGAAGAAAGAAAAUAUGGAAAGAAAGGAUUUCUUAAGUGCAGAGGAGGAGGAAGCACGAGCUCGUGCUCGUGGCUGGCUGGGGCGCUCGGUGGAGAUGGGCCGGCCCAGUUGGGUCGGUCCAUUCUCUUUUUUUUUUCCUUUUUUUUUCCAUUUCUUUUUUUUAUUAAUAAUUUUUGAUUCCUAACUCCAAAUAAGUCCAAAUAAACUCCAGAAAAUUUGUAAAUUCAAAUUCUCCAAAGUGUGAACUUUUGGGACUUGAAUCCUUUCAAAAAUAAAAUAAGUAAAAAAUACUUUUGCUUAUAUGAAUGUCAUUAGAGCUUUAUAAGUAAUACAUAAAAUAGGUUUUAAAAUCUAUUAUGAAACCUUUGUUUCAUAAAUUAGUUUAAACUCCAAUAAACAUAUUGGGUUGGCAUACUUUGCACUAAAAUCCUUCUUUAGCUAAAUACCCCAUUGGGUUGAACUCCAAAGAAGAUCUCAUAAUAAUUAUACGGUUCAAUAAAAUUCCCUAAUAGCUUUAUAACACAAAAUCUCAAAUCAUGUAAACCAUCGCAGAUGUUUCCAACUAUAUAUAUAUUUGGGAAGUCACGUUAUCCCACUCUCAACGACGGAAUAAAUGUUGGAAUAACAUUUGCACACGAGGCUGUCACGUUAUCCUCUUCUCGAAUAUUUGAUAGUUUCCUCUCGAAAACAAAAUGAACACGCCAA